GCUUGCAUGUCGAUACAUUGAUAGAAUGAGAGAUUUUCAACUCUACAAGUUCAAGACUAGGUCGAAACAAGCACUAUAGAGAAGACCACAAUGAAUGACUGCUAGACAAACACUACAACAAACAACACCAAACAAUCUUCAACCUAAUAUAAGUCAUCCACACAAAUACACAAGACACAAACCCUGCCAGAAGUAAUAAGACUCCAACAUUAAAAAGAAGGCAAAGUUGUUGCACCACCAUCCUUGUAUACAAUUGAACUAGCCCUAUUUAAGCUAAACCAUGGCCGCGGCAGCAGAGAGUGGUUGUGACGACCCCGGCACGAAAGGCCUCCUGCAGAGCGGGCAGGUGAUGUUGCUCUUCAUCCACGGCACGAGGCAGCCCCGGUGGAAGACGUGUCGGCACGCCGGCACCUCGCUGCACUCCGCCCCGCCCACCAGCGCCUCCAGGCAGAUCACGCACACCACCACCGACGCCCUCGCCGUCCUUUUCCCGCCAUCCGCCUCGGUGCCGGCGGGGUACGAGAAGUAGGCCAGCUGCUGCGGCUCCAUGACCCGCGCCGGCGAGCCGGACGUCGUGCGGCUCCUUGUACCCGCGGCGGCCGCGUUAUAUCCUUGGUCCGCCGUCUCUGGUACGCGGUCGCAGCACCAGAUUAGGAAGGCGGCCGUAACAAAUGGCGUGAGGGUACAAAUGAUAACUAGUAAAAUGCCGGCAAUGUUGUCCGGCCCGACGGCCGUCGAUAUCGUCGUGGUCAUUCCUUAGAUAACUAGUAAAACAGUGGGAAUUUUUCCCGCUCUCCACCGACGGUUUCGUCGGUGCGAGCGGGAAAUAAGCCUGGGAAUCUGGCCGCGCGGAAAUCAGCGCAAUCAGCAACAAUGUCGGCCGCGCGGAAACAGUGGCCUGGCCGCCUGCUCCCGAGGCGGCAGGGCCCACCCGGCUUUGUCCGUUACGGACAGGAGUGGGCGGGAACGGGUUCCGGCACUGGCCGCCUCUGUCGGUGGCGGCAGGCCCCGGCCGCCAGGGGUGGUGGCGGCAGGCCCCACGGCCGCCUCGUGCGGUGGCGGCAGGUGCCACGUGCCGCCUGGCGCGCCUGCCGCCACCCGGGAUGGGGGUCUUUUUUCUCGUUUCCACUCGCAGGUGGUCUCUUUUGACAAUCCCACUCAACAGGGGGUCCUUUUGGACAAAAAUUCCGACGUGGGUGGCCUGGUGCAUGUAUAGGCUAUAGAUCAUGACAGAUGCAUCACGAAUGUGUGUAGUGGUAACGGAAUUUUUUUGCUACCUAUGAUGGUAACUACACACGGCUCAAGAUGUGUCGUGCAUGUAUAGGCUAUAUAUAGAUCAUGGUAGAUGCAUCACAAAUGUGUGUAGUCGUAACCGAAAUAAUUUGGUACCCAUGAUGAUAGCUACACACGACCCAAAUUUUUAUCUCUAACUAGUUAGCAUGCACGUGCAACGCACGACUAACCGAAUAAUUUAUAAAUUGCUUUUUAUAUUAAAAUUUUAGUAUAUAUAUAUAUAUGUAAAAAUAUUGAAACACACACAAUAUACACAUUACUUGCACUUCAUUGAAAAAUUGAAAACAAAUUUAUUUAGUGGAAUAAUGAAAAAAAUGUUUGGAGUAACAUAAGACAAAAAGAAACAUUGGGCUCACUGGAAGGUUGCAGCAAGCUGGAAUGAAUCCUAACUUCUUCACUUGAUGCAUCAUAUCUAGCUUCGAUGUCUGAUAAAUUAGCAAGCAUAUUGUCAGCAGAUGCCAAAUAUAAUUAAAGCAUAAACAGUAACACUCUAAGUGCAAUGUAAAAAUUUACCUGUCCUGUUGACACAAUGACAGGAUCUCUCAUCAGGUCAAGAGAUAUUGGGUAACGGAAAUCUUCAGGCAUAGCUACAGUGUCAGACUUCUUAACAUUGUCACGUGAUUCUUUUGCUUCAUCACUUGUUUGGCCAUCACCAUUGGUCAGUUUUGCAGAAACAGAAACUGUAGUGUUUUCAAGUUCUUCAAUUAGCUCAGAUGUUAUUUUUUUGAUGUCAGAUUUAGAUAUCCCGCUUAUUUCUGAAAUUAGUAAAGCAACAUGUUGCAACUCCAGGUGAUCACUGUUGACGUUUUCCAACGGCAAUGUCUCUGGCUGGCUGUUUGGUUCUUCAGAUUGUGACCCGGCAUUAUCAACAUGAUGAGCUAAGAUAUCAUGAAUUUUUGAAAAAAUAUUUAGAUCAAGGGAUCCCUUCUUCUCCAUUUCUCUUUUAAGCUGAUCGAUGGCCCAACUGUUAACACCCUUCAGUGAGGGUUCCCACCGUCUCGCUUAAUGCGAGACAUAGGGGUACCUAUCAUUGACUACAUUUUUGAUGAGUUGAUAUAAGUCUAUAAAAUCCAAAAGGGCAGGGAAAAUAUUGCACGAAGGAUGAGAUGGACGAUAGAACCUUACAUUCGUUUUGAACAGGGGAGAUGUAUGUUAGGCGAUGAUUUACCUUUUCCUUAUUAGUGGCAAGCAUUGUCCUCAUUUACGAAAUCAUGCCCGUGAUUUACCUAGCUACCUACUUCUAAGUUUUAGAUUUUCAUUUCACAAUCUCUUAUUUGAUAAAUUUUAGGAUUUCAUUCGCUAGCCAGCCUUCACCGGAGCACCGCACUCGCCUUGGAUAAAUUUUAGGAUUUCAUUCGCUAGUAAUCUCAACUUGGGUAUCUUGCUCCUCAAUCACCUUAUCUUUUCCCUUUGAACUCUGCAAAGAUUGCCUUUGCAGCCUGACCAAAUGUGGGUUCUGAAAAGCGGAGAAAGAAGAACUAUCUUCUUGAUUCCCAGUGUGUGGUUCCUUAGGAAUGAGAUCCACAUGUGUCAUCCAUGAUCCAAACUUAACUGAAGGAAUUUGCUCCAAGGAGAUCUGCAACCUUUGCCUAGAAAUGAGCUUUUGGGACAGUGCUGAACAGAAUGGAACAAGACUCCACAUAAAGUACAGAUUCGACCAAUUCUUUCAUAAAACAAGUAUGCCCAAGCAGCCAAAUCUUUAGUGAAGGAAACCCAAAUUUUAUCUCUCACUCGCACCAUCACCUUAGCUUUAAUUGUACCCCACAUAUAUUCAGAUCUGGCAUGGAUCAUAGGCUGACUGAAAGGGUGAAAUUCAUAAAUUUGACCAACACUCUGCACAAUCCUAGUUAAAAGCUGCUGAGUUCGAAACCCAAGGGGAACACCAUACACUCGGACAGUAACAAAGACAGUUUUAAAUUUGUAAUCCUGAAAAUCUCUACUGAAAUCCUCCGGAUCGGUCAACUCAAUUAAGAAAUUAUCUGAACCCAUGGCCUAAGGCUGGCGAGUGAAUACAAACAUAGCAGCUUCCAAAGAGUUGAAACGGGCCACAAAGAUGUACGUGGAGAGCUGCCAAAUCCCAUGGUAAUUAUCUCUCCACACCCGUGCCAUAGCGAGCUGCACAGAAUUGAGAGAAAGAACUCUUGCAGAUCAUCCAGUGGCUGCUAACUUCAUCAGAAUAUUAAACUGAGCAUCUUGGCCUUGAUUCUCCUCCUUUUGCUGUGCUUGAAUAUGAAGGACAUUUGGAUCUUGGAUGGAUAAGGCUUGCAUGUUGAGCUCAAUACCAGGAUCUGGAUUGAUGGACUCUGGCUGACCUGCACGUACGGACCUUACCAUGCGGCUGCUCACCUAGUUCGUCCGUGGCCCUCCUUCAAUCCGGAGCGCCCGGAGCAGGUCGGCCACCCAGGCCGUCGCCUCGGGCUCGGCCGUGCCGUCCUCCCCCGCCGCCUCGGCGACCUCGGCGACGAGGUGCGUGAGCAGGGACACCUUGCGCGCGAGGCGGAGGCAGUCGGCCCGCAGCGGCUCCGCGGCGGCGGCGCCCACAGCCGUGAUCUCCCGCACGAUCUCCGCGGCCGCCCCGGCCGUUGCCGCCGUCGCGCCGCCCCGGGUCAGGCCUCGGUCAGCCUUUGUUUGCUGUAGGAGGAGGUGGAGCACGGUCAGCCUUUGUUAAUUUGGUAACUGCACACCGUCGUGGUGCAUGGAUGGUGGAAGGCCGUUAGAUUGUAAUUUGUUGUCUAAUUGUGUGGUGGUGAUUGGUGUUUGUUUUUGUGGGGGUAAUAGUUGUGUGUACUUAGAGAAGUUUUCGUUUGAUCUUUUAUUAGUAGUAUAGAUUAUUUUAAACCAUAAAAAAAAUUCUACAAUGAAAUAUCAUGACUUUAGACCACUCAAGCAAGCAAGCAUGCAAUUAUACCAAAAAGGCAACAAAAAGGCAGAGAGAAGUUAGAAACGUCAUUUCUACACAACGAAAAGACAUCUGUGUCAAAAAGGUAAUAACAAAGAUAAACAUAGGUGAGAAAAGGUCACUUCUAUACAAAAAACAUGUACUUGUGCCAAUACCAUUGAAACCUGACCUGUAUCUAUCUAAUCGAUGAAAAAAGGGUUUCCCCGCUUUGUAUUACAAAGCAACCAACCAGAACAUCAGAAGAUAGGUGCUGGGACGGAAACAACACAAUCACGCCCAAAAGAAAUGGAAAAGAAAAUACAAAGAAACAAAUACCGACACCAGCGUAUUGACAGAAAACACAAAAGACUUGCGACCGAUGCGCCCACCAAUAGUCUUCCACCAAGCUCCAGGACUCCGAAGCGCAUGUACCCAUCAACACCUUCAAGAAGGAAUGCGAUGAUGACUAUGCUGCUGCCAAGAGUUUCCCCCGGUACGCGACGAGGCACGAGGAAGGGUAGCCCCGACGCCCUCCAGGAAGGUUCGGUGACACCCAAGGGCAUCACCGCGUCAGUGUCAGCCGGGCCGACAGUGGUUUCCCCCGAUCCCAACCUGCAUGUCGGGCACUCCAGAUCCUGCCACCAAACCAACCGACACCCUGCACCAAUACGGUCUUGAGGGCCGUGCGCCGUCUCACCACGACACCGUAAGGAGAAGCCUACACAGUGAUGAAGAGAAGCCGGGACAAGAAGCAGCAGCAUCGUCGGCAUGUGGGAGGGCUCAGCCUUCACCGUUAAUGACGGUAGCCGACCGAACGCAAUAGCAUGAGCAUACGAAGCCUGUGGGCCCACAGGCCCGACCGAGACCGCCCCAUAAAGCUCCCGCCAUCAUGCUGCAACAGGCAUGUCGUCGGCAACACCACCCCCUGUCCAAGCUGCUCUGCCUCACCACCAUGCAGAAGACACCGCAGCCACGCCGAGAGCCGGCCCGCUAGGACCCAGAUAGGACACGCAGGGCCCAGACCUGGGCCGGGGGCGCGCCAUAUUGUCUUGGAUGGAGUUGCUCCUUCCGAUCCAAUGGAAUACGAUUCUUUGCACCUGGUGAUUAAUUUUCACCAGUCAAGCAGUCACUGCGAUCUACUCAUUCCAUUAUAUUUCCACGUAACACCAAAAUAUGAAGUAUUCCUAUGAUGGGAUGAGUUUUGCGUAGGGUCUCUGCGACGGGUCACCAAGCAUGCGGUGUAUCCACGCAGAACCAACACAACACCCGAUCCAUGCAUGUACAUAAAUUCAUCCGUUGAUUACACGUAGGUAUACAAUUGAGCAAACCCUAUUUAAGCUACACCAUGGCCUCGGUAGCCGAGAUGGGAGGUGAUGCUGACCCCGGCACGACAGGGCUCCUGCAGAGCGGGCAGGUGCCGUUGCUCUUCAUCCACAGCGCGAGGCAGCCCUCUGCACUCCGCCCCGCCCACCAGCGCCUCCAGGCAGAUCGCGCACACCACCACCGACGCUCCGGCGCCUGUCCCUCUGCCACCAUCUGCCUCAGCGCCGGCGGGGUACGAGAAGUAGGCCAGCCGCCGCGGCUUCCCGACGACGACCGGCACCGGCCUUCGCCACUGCACGCCCGACCACCUGCCCCUCCUUCCACCACCGGCGUCGGCGGCCACGUUAUAUCCUUGUUCCGCCGGUGGGUCACAGCACAAGAUUAGGCAGAAGAGAAUCGCCGUGAGGACACGAAGGGAGACAAACAUGGCCGAGAAGGCCCCGUACACGGUGGACAUCGCCGUCUGGUCGAUCGCGCCGCCUGUUUUUGUGCUGAGAUUUCGUUCUUGGCAAUAAUAAGGAGCACAUACGUAGUAAGUACUACCUUCGUCCGGAAGUACUUAUCCUAAAAAUGUAAAUAAUGGAUGUAUCUAUAAUUAAAAUAAGUCUAGAUACAUUCAUCUCUAGGACAAGUAUUUUCGAACGGAGGGAGUAUAUAUCAGCAACAACAGCCGGUGCUCGAUCGAUCCGAUUAUUGUAGGUGGAGUCGUCACAUGUUAACUCGAUCAGUAUCUGGAACGGAAAACAGCUUCGGCACUUUUAUAGCAAUCUCACACGUAGUAUCGUCAACUUACUAUUUCUUGUGGGGAAAAAUAUAUUUGCCAAACAUUCCAAGUUUUGGGUUACAAAACUUGAAACGCGUCUCCUGCCAUCGUUCUGGUCGAGAGCUUCUUUGGCAGACCCCAGCGACCAACCAGGCUAGCUAGGAUACGUUCAUGUCUACUAGAAGAAAAUUUAUCUACUUUAAAACUAUUCGGCUGUAGCUGCAGCACCAAGAUACGCAUCAAUUUGGCACACUAACAUUUUCGAACCAAAUAUAUUACUCCCUCUAUCCGAAAAUUCUUGUCAUUGGAAUGGAUGUAUCUAAAUAUAUUUUAAUUCUAGAUAUUUUUAUUUUUAUUCAUUUAUGUGACAAGUAAUUCCGAACUGAUGGGAGUAUUUGACAUGUCGCAUAUAAUACAUUAAAACAUCGGUGUAGUUGACCACGGGCUUGGUGUCGCGCGAGAGUGCUCGGUGACAGCCGUCGGCACGCACUGGGUUGUGUUCCCCCCGGUCCAACGGGACUGGCUGGCGACGCAGGUGUGGAAGCCUCCUACGAUGGAGGCAUCGACCCACACUUCAUAAUUGAUGUCGGGCUAGGAGUGAAAGGAGGCCUCUUUUACUCUUCCUCCGUAGUUGGUGCACCGUGAUGCGGAUGAUGGGUGGUGGCUCGGACAUGGAUGUCGGGGUGGCGGCUCCGAAGGGUGGUCCGCUUGGUUCGCUGUCCGGCGAGCACCAUGUCGGCCAUGGUGGCUUUUCCUCUUGGUCGUGUGGCUGCAGGAGGUAUAUCGAUGGUGGCCCGGGCACGUAUCUUGUCUUGACAGUGGCGUCGCCCUGAUCCAGACCUGCGGGUUUGAUCUUGUCGCACUUGUCCUGAAGACCUCGUGGUGGCACGGGGGAGCUCUUGAGUGAAAGCUUCAUGAUUUUUUUGCCGACGACGGCGAUACUCGGGGCAUCGUUAUCUUCUUGAAGACGUUGUUGUGGUGCUCCUCUCCGUGUCACGGUUUCGAGCGAAGACCUUUCUACCUUCUGGAUUUGCCAGCAGCGACACUUUGCGUCCCCCCCCCCUUGAGGGCGUUGUCGGGGAACUUUAGUGUUAAGGGCGUAGUGUAGCGAUGUAUUAUGUUCUUCCAAUGUACUUUGUCGAUAGCAUAGUCGCUUGCGUUCUGUGUGAUCCGCUUAUCUUGGGAUUGGCGUUGUAUUUUACCUCGCCAUCUUGUAUUAUUCGGUCGUGCGUUGCGAUUGUUGCUUUAUAUAUAAAGUGGAGCAAAAGCAUGUUUUGAGGAAUUGCGUACAUUGGAGGUCUUGAGUUCUUAUCGUCUUCGUUGUGGAUAAGGGGACGGGACACAUGCCCAUGCAACAAUGAUCAACAUAGACAACUAUAUUUACCAGUUGUCCGUUCUAUAGUUAUCAACAUGAGACAACUAUUGUUCAUAUUGAAGUUAGCAUGCUGCUCAUAUUGAAGUUACUAGCAUAUUUAUGCUGAAGUUAUCAUGAUGUUCAUGUUAUAGGUAUCAUGUUGUUCAUGCUAAAUUUACCAGGCUAGUCAUGCUGAACUUAUUAAGCUCCUCAUGCUAUAGUUACCUAGCUGUUCAUACUGAAGUUAUCGGACUACUCAUGUUAUAAUUACCAGUCUGCACUGGUCAUAGUUAUCAGGUUGCUCAUGCCAUGUAGAAUCAUUUUAUGCCCCAGUAACUAUAGUGUUAAUAUCACGGUAACUUAUAUAUUGCAUGGUAAAUUAUAUUGCUAGGCCUUGUCACUUUUGAUCUGAUAAAAGUGGUCGAAACAUGUCAAUAUGAGAUCUACUUUUAAAGAUCGCAUUGCGAUAGAUUUAGUGUCAAAAACGGAUUUGAAUCAAACCAAUGAUUUGAGCUGAAAAUCAUUUUGACUUCCUGAAAUGAAAGAAUAUAAAAUGAUAUCAUCAGUUGUCUAUUUAUACAUGCAUGUAGUUAGAAAGAGAAAAAAAAGUGCACACGGAAGAAGGGAUUUUUAAUAUGCAUGCACACAUGCAUGUAAUGAGAGGAGGGGAUUGCCCUGGGGAGUAUUCCGAUCUAUUGCAAAAACCGGAAGCCAAUUAGUGUGGUCGUUUAUUAUAAAUUCCGUAGAAUAGAUGCUUCAAUUAGUUUUCGAGAAAAUGCAAAGCUUGCAUGUCGAUANGCAGAGCGGGCAGGUGCUGUUGCUCUUCAUCCACGGCACGAGGCAGCCCCGGUGGAAGACGUGCCGGCACGCCGGCACCUCGCUGCACUCCGCCCCGCCCACCAGCGCCUCCAGGCAGAUCGCGCACACCACCACCGACGCCCUCGCCGUCCUUUUUCCGCCAUCCGCCUCGGUGCCGGCAGGGUACGAGAAGUAGGCCAGCUGCUGCGGCUCCAUGACCCGCGCCGGCGAGCCGGCCGUCGUGCGGCUCCUUGUACCCGCGGCGGCCGCGUUAUAUCCUUGUUCCGCCGUCUCUGGUACGCGGUCGCAGCACCAGAUUAGGAAGGCGGCCGUAACAAAUGGCCCGAGGGUAUAAAUGAUAACUAGUAAAAUGCCGGGAAUGUUGUCCGGCCCGACGGCCGUCGAUAUCGUCGUGGUCAUUCCUUAGGUACACGAGAGCCGGCCGGGGGAUGCCCUACCUAUAGCUAGCCUGGUCGAUCGAUCGGGACGUACGAGAUUUCUUUCUAGGAGUAGGUACGUACGUACGUAUAUAUAUAAUCGGCAACGACGGCCGGUGCUCUUGAUCGAUCCGAUUGUACGUAGGUGGACUCACAUGUUAACUCGAUCUCUAUCUGGAACGGAAAACAGCGUCUGCACUUUUGUAGCAAUCUCACGCAAUAUUGUCAAACUGCAACUUACUAGUAUUUCUUGCGGCGAAAAAGCAUAUGCACUCCGUUUUGCCAUGACCAUAGGUAUAUAUUUAUUUGAGUAAUUCAAUAUUUAUUUGAUCCUUCCGCUUGAUCCUUGCAAGAAAUAUAAUCAGUCAACUAGGGAGAAUCUGAGAAGGUACGACUCCCGUAACAUAUGC
This 9256-nucleotide long non-coding RNA is filed under the name Hordeum vulgare. RNAcentral describes it as "long non-coding RNA (HVUL_LNC002423)". The stretch from base 6028 to 6151 matches the Rfam family "MIR1120/MIR1122 microRNA precursor family". The record is from RNAcentral. Lineage: Eukaryota; Viridiplantae; Streptophyta; Magnoliopsida; Poales; Poaceae.